GCGGAGGGUGGCCGAGCGGCUGAAGGCAGCGGUCUUGAAAACCGCCGAUGGGAAACCAUCCGAGUUCGAAUCUCUCCUCCUCCGCC
Molecule: transfer RNA, 86 nt
Filed under: Providencia rettgeri
Lineage: Bacteria; Pseudomonadati; Pseudomonadota; Gammaproteobacteria; Enterobacterales; Morganellaceae
Description: tRNA-Ser
Rfam family: tRNA
About the family: Transfer RNA (tRNA) molecules are approximately 80 nucleotides in length.
Source: RNAcentral